AGAGUUUGAUCCUGGCUCAGGAUGAACGCUAGCGGCAGGCCUAACACAUGCAAGUCGAGGGGUAACAUGGAGUGCUUGCACUCCGAUGACGACCGGCGCACGGGUGCGCACCGCGUAUGGAACCUGCCCUUUGCAGGGGAAUAGCCCAGAGAAAUUUGGAUUAAUGCCCCGUGGUACCGUAACCUCUCCUGAGGACUCGGUUAAAGCCUUCGGGCGGCAAAGGAUGGCCAUGCGUCCCAUUAGUUAGUUGGUAAGGUAACGGCUUACCAAGACCGCGAUGGGUAGGGGCCCUGAGAGGGGGAUCCCCCACACUGGUACUGAGACACGGACCAGACUCCUACGGGAGGCAGCAGUGAGGAAUAUUGGACAAUGGGCGGGAGCCUGAUCCAGCCAUGCCGCGUGCAGGAAGAAUGCCCUAUGGGUAGUAAACUGCUUUUAUACGGGAAGAAAAAGGGCCACGAGUGGCCUGUUGACGGUACCGUAAGAAUAAGGACCGGCUAACUCCGUGCCAGCAGCCGCGGUAAUA
Molecule: ribosomal RNA, 526 nt
Filed under: uncultured Maribacter sp.
Lineage: Bacteria; Pseudomonadati; Bacteroidota; Flavobacteriia; Flavobacteriales; Flavobacteriaceae
Description: bacterial SSU rRNA
Rfam family: Bacterial small subunit ribosomal RNA
Source: RNAcentral